Molecule: RNA transcript, 2498 nt
Organism: Brachypodium distachyon (stiff brome)
Lineage: Eukaryota; Viridiplantae; Streptophyta; Magnoliopsida; Poales; Poaceae
Gene name: UBP1-associated protein 2B
Exons: 3
Source: RefSeq, a predicted model, not a curated record
CCAGGCUGCUGAACCCCGACCGCGUGGCGUUACGACAGUACAAGCACUCGCCUUGUCACCUAUCGAUUCCCUUUCCCCUUCCUCCCUUCUCCUCCCCUCCUGAAUUGUCGAAACCCUAGCUCGCUUUCGCCGCCCAUCCCCUGGCCGUCGCCAUGGGUAAGAAGCGGAAGCUCGAGCCAAAAACCACCAUGGCAGCUAAGUCUGCCGCCGCUAAGGUCGCAGCUGCCACUAAGAUCGCCGAGCCGGUCGCCCCUUCCCCUCAGCCCGAAACCCUAGCGGAGUACUACGCGCCCCCCACCCAGACCAUACCGCAGGUGAGCGGCUCCACCGCUGUGGCCGCGGAGGAGAUGCCGCCCCAGGAGUUGGGUGGUGAGGAGGACGAGUGGGAGGAGGUAGAGGAGGAGGUAGAGGAGGAGGAAGAGGAGGAGCAGGCGGAGGAGGUUGAGGAGGGCGAGAGCGACCCCGCCUCGAUCCAGUCUCUGCUUGAGUCAUUCCCCAAGGAGCAACUCGUCGAGCUGCUCCGCGACGCCGCCGUCGGCCACGGCGACGUCCUCGAGACCGUCCGCCGCGCGGCCGACGCGGAUCCGGCCCAGAGGAAGAUUUUCGUCCACGGCCUCGGCUGGGACACAACCGUCGAUACCCUCAGGGAGGCCUUCAGCUCCUACGGCGAGAUCGAGGACCUCAAGCUCGUCUCCGACCGUAACACGGGCAAGUGCAAGGGCUACGGAUUCAUCCUCUUCAGCCGCCGGUCCGGGGCCCGCGCGGCCCUGCAGGAGCCCCAGAAGAAGAUAGGCAACCGCACCACAUCCUGCCAGCUCGCUUCCGUCGGCCCUGUCCCAGCUGGCGGUGGGGCCAGUUACCCUGGACUGGCUACAUCUCCAGCUCCAGCUCCAGCGGCGUUGAUACUGCCACCAGUGUCUGAGUACACACAGCGGAAGAUUUUUGUCAGCAAUGUUGGUGCAGAUAUUGACCCGCAGAAACUGGUGCAGUUCUUCUCAAAGUAUGGUGAGAUUGAGGAGGGUCCAUUGGGACUUGAUAAGGCAACUGGGAAGCCCAAAGGUUUUGCUCUGUUUGUGUACAAGACCCUCGAGGGUGCCAGGAAGGCGCUCCAGGAGCCACACAAGUCAUUUGAGGGUGUUAUGCUUCACUGCCAGAAGGCAAUCGACGGACCAAAGCCCAACAAAGGAGGAGGAUAUGGUGCCGCUACUACAAGUGGGAGGAAGGGCGCUGCUGGUUAUGGUGCUAGUUCCCAUUCUCUGCAUGGCAGUGUCAGUGCUGGUUAUGGGAUGGCACCUCCAGCAUCCAGCUUGGCUCCCCUGCCUGUUGGUGGCCCUGGAAUGAAUCCUGCAUUAGGGCAGGCCUUGACAGCUUUCCUGGCCACCCAAGGGGCAGGAUUGGGUCUGAACAACAUCCUUGGAGUUGCUCCGAAUAGUUCAGGGGUGCCUAGCCCUGGGUCUUCUGGAGCUCUUGGUGGUGGUGGUGGUGGUGUUCCUGGGAUGCCAGGGGGUUAUAUGGGUGGCUAUGGGGGUGGUGGUGGUGGGUAUGGUGGUCCGACAGGAGGCCCAGGAAGAAAUUACAUGGGUCAUUAGCAAGCUAGUUUGAAAGGGUGUCUAUGCAGCAAGGCGAAGGGAAGUGGAGAUGGAAGCAGUAGUGCUGUUGGAACUUGGAAGGGCCAAAACAAAGGUGUGCUUGCAUGGAACAGACGAGGGAAAGAGGGAGCGGGGCUGGCCCUCCUUGUGGUUCCUGGAUUUCUUCUAUCUCUCACUUUAUUACAGUCAUUCCUAAGGUUUCCUCUUCAUGUCAUUGGGAAUUGGGAAUUCCCUCACUGGUGGUAACUCUAAGGGUAAUGGCCCCAGCUGUGGCAAAGGAGGAUAAGAAGCGGAAAGAAGGUGUGGAGGCAGAGGGAAUAAAACAGCAGGAGGAAAACAGCGAGGUGCACGUUGCUACUAGGAAUGGGCUAAUGCUGCAAAAGCAUCAGUAAGUUGUCAUGAGCUUGUCCAGAACUCCAGAUCCGAAGAAAUCAGUCGAAGGACAUUUUUCCUGUCCGAUACGCUACAAACUGAUGUCUGGGGGGUCUGCACUUUUUCCCAAUUCAACAAGCUGGCGCCCUUCCCACCAGAUGUAUCAUGCACCCGCCAAAGCCAGUACUUGCAGUCCGCAUUGCACAACCGCCGGGUGAGAUCGCUAGUCCAAGCAUGGAAAAACUCCAGCACUGCUUGACACGCCCUGUCAACCUUACACGCACCCCUGAUGACAUCGACAAGAAUGAUAGCUCGGCAGCCGCCUCGGCUCUUGCACAGUUAAACAUGUUUCAUAUCUUCCGGUAGAUUAAGUCUAUGUAACAACUUCUCAGCUCGACUUGAGUACUCCGUAGUUCAGUUUCCACCGAUAUUUUACUGAUUCUUGUAUAAAUCCCCAUGCUUGGCCAGAGCCACAUCUUGAUGUGCUAGUACACUUAUGACAACAGCGUAUAACUACCAACAGUAUUUUUUCUGUCA